CAAGAGGGUGGCAUCUCUUUUUAAACCGUGACAUUUUGACAAACAAUGAUGCUUUGUGUUAUCCUUUAAUAAGAAGAAAUGUGAGCAGAAUUGUUUCAGGCAAUCUGAAAAGCAGCUUGGGAGGGAAGACUGCUGUGUACUAUUCCCAGAUCAGUCAUUUACUUGCUCCAUAUAUUUGGAUAAGAUACUUAGUCCUUAUCUACAUGCCAAGGUUGUACUGCUUUAACUGUACCAGUUCAGUAAAGCCGUGCAAACUAGUAUUAACACAACUAUAUUGGUAUUAAAGUACUUUUAUCAGAAUAAUACAUUCAUGUUGGGCAAAGGGAAUAAUCUUGCCUGUAUAAUGUACCUUUGUACCAUUAUAACUGCUGGCACAGUGGGCAAUGGACUGUUAUAACACCAAGAUAAAAUGAUUUCAGCCCUCACAAAAAUACUUAUGGAUAGUGCUAGUAUUGUGCAUAAACCACCUCUGGUGUCUCAGCUUCCCCAGAUGUAAAAGACUUGUCGUUCAUACCUUGCAGGGCUGUUGAGCCUUAAUUCAUGUCAGUAACAGGGCUUCACAAAGCCUGUGUGAAAGGUGCCAAGCUUCUUUUUAGCUACUCACUUUUUUCUUUUUUUCUUUUUCAGUUUCUAAAAAGUGUUUGCAAAAGGUAGCUGUGCCUCAGAACAUGCAAUGGCAGAGGAGUUUAGCUGGGUUUGCUUCCUUUUUAUGUUCACUGCCCAUUGUGAAGCCACGGAGCAGGAUGCUUUGCAGCAGGCUUCCUAUUGCAUCUUGCAGCCCAGACAGGAGUUCAGCUGCUCAGCUCCGCAUUGAUUCAGUCAUGUAGUACAGUGAGACUCAGAGCCAACAUUAAUGAGAAAAGCCUGGAUAUACAAAGGUAUAAGAUAGAGAUGCCUACCCAGAAUAGGACACACAGGACUGGGACCCUCUAUAUUGUCACACUUUAAAGGCUUAUGCAUAUUUGUUUUCCAAAUAUCCAAGUAGAAUAUAAUCCACAUCACAUAAAAGCUCUUCACCUAUUUUCUUCCAAAAGGUAUAGUGUUUAAGACUUUCUACCCUUCAAGUGAUACCCUGCAUCCAGGGAGUCUGUUAAGCUGGAGGAAAAGCAAGACCUUAGAGGGGCCCACUGUGUUUCAAGUGUUGGAGCCUUCCCACCAGGCCUGCUUUCCAAGUUACCUCCAACAGCAUGGAGCUCCAGUCUGAAAGAGCUUUGUUGGUGUUUAGGGAGUGAAUCACAUCUGGCUUGAAUUUAGCAUUUGCUGUUUGUUUGCACUCCAAAGGCUGUUUAAUUUAUGCAGCCUACAUGUGUAAGUGUAUGUGUGUAUGUAUUAAGUAAGACAGCUGGUUGUAUGCAGGCAAGGCUGACUGUCGUGCCUGAGGCAAGACGCCCAUGUUGCAUUAUUGCCCUUUACAAUUCUUUGACCUCUGCUUGAUAUACUUUUCCAUAACCCUAGGCAGUGAGCUAUGUGUGUGGGAGCUAUCUCUGUGUUACUGUCUGUUAAAUGAGGCCUUCCUUAUGGAAUACAGCUUCUGAACAUCACCACUAGACAAAUACCACCAAGCAAGGUGGCCAGCAUCUAUCUUAUCUAGUCCACCACAGGCAGGGUGGGUAUUUCCUGAUCCAGGGGAAGCUGGCCUGCGAUGGGAAUAAAAAACUGCUCCGUUAGAAAAGAAGUACUGAC
This is a long non-coding RNA of Coturnix japonica (Japanese quail), 1683 nucleotides long. NCBI's taxonomy places the organism in Eukaryota, Metazoa, Chordata, Aves, Galliformes, Phasianidae. The record is from Ensembl.